GCAUAUCAAUAAGCGGAGGAAAAGAAACCAACAGGGAUUGCCCUAGUAACGGCGAGUGAAGCGGCAACAGCUCAAAUUUGAAAUCUGGGCCCUUGGGUCCGAAUUGUAAUUUGUAGAGGAUGAUUUUGGUGCGGUAUCUUCCGAGUUCCUUGGAACAGGACGCCUUAGAGGGUGAGAGCCCCGUACGGUUGAAUGCCUAGCCUCUGUAAAUCUCCUUCGACGAGUCGAGUAGUUUGGGAAUGCUGCUCUAAAUGGGAGGUAAAUUUCUUCUAAAGCUAAAUACUGGCCAGAGACCGAUAGCGCACAAGUAGAGUGAUCGAAAGAUGAAAAGCACUUUGAAAAGAGGGUUAAAUAGCACGUGAAAUUGUUGAAAGGGAAGGAUUUAUGACCAGACUUUUUCUGGGCGGAUCAUCCGGUGUUCUCACCGGUGCACUUUGCCCAGUUUAGGCCAGCAUCGAUUUUCGGAGAGGGAUAAAAGCUUUGGGAAUGUGGCUCCUCCGGGAGUGUUAUAGCCCAUUGUAUAAUACCUUUCUGGGGAUCGAGGUACGCGCUUCUGCAAGGAUGCUGGCGUAAUGGUUAUCAAUCACCCGUCUUGAAACACGGACCAAGGAGUCGAACAUUUGUGCAAGUGUUUGGGUGUUAAACCCUCACGCGUAAUGAAAGUGAACGGAGGUGAGAGCCCUUACGGGUGCAUCAUCGACCGAUCCUGAAGUUUUCGGAUGGAUUUGAGUAAGAGCAUAACUGUUCGGACCCGAAAGAUGGUGAACUAUGCGUGGAUAGGGUGAAGCCAGAGGAAACUCUGGUGGAGGCUCGCAGCGGUUCUGACGUGCAAAUCGAUCGUCAAAUCUGCGCAUGGGGGCGAAAGACUAAUCGAACCAUCUAGUAGCUGGGUUACCGCCGA
Molecule: ribosomal RNA, 901 nt
Filed under: Seiridium unicorne
Lineage: Eukaryota; Fungi; Ascomycota; Sordariomycetes; Amphisphaeriales; Sporocadaceae
Description: LSU rRNA
Rfam family: Eukaryotic large subunit ribosomal RNA
Source: RNAcentral